AGAGUUUGAUCCUGGCUCAGGAUGAACGCUAGCUACAGGCUUAACACAUGCAAGUCGAGGGGCAGCAUGUUGGUUGCUUGCAACCAAUGAUGGCGACCGGCGCACGGGUGAGUAACGCGUAUCCAACCUACCCUUGUCCAUCGGAUAACCCGUCGAAAGGCGGCCUAACACGAUAUGCGGUUCACAGCAGGCAUCUAAGGUGAGCGAAAUGUGAAGGAGAAGGAUGGGGAUGCGUCUGAUUAGCUUGUGCGGGUAACGCCACAAGGCGACGAUCAGUAGGGUUCUGAGAGGAAGGUCCCCCANAUUGGAACUGAGACACGGUCCAAACUCCUACGGGAGGCA
Molecule: ribosomal RNA, 342 nt
Filed under: uncultured bacterium
Lineage: Bacteria
Description: bacterial SSU rRNA
Rfam family: Bacterial small subunit ribosomal RNA
Source: RNAcentral